RNAcentral lists this ribosomal RNA (492 nucleotides) under uncultured bacterium. RNAcentral's name for it is "partial 16S ribosomal RNA". It matches the Rfam family "Bacterial small subunit ribosomal RNA", at positions 29 to 507 of the family's 1533-position model. The record is from RNAcentral.
AGUGAACGCUGGCGGUAGGCCUAACACAUGCAAGUCGAACGGCAGCACAGUAAGAGCUUGCUCUUACGGGUGGCGAGUGGCGGAUGGGUGAGGAAUACAUCGGAAUCUAUUUUUUCGUGGGGGAUAACGUAGGGAAACUUACGCUAAUACCGCAUACGACCUACGGGUGAAAGCAGGGGAUCUUCGGACCUUGCGCGAUUGAAUGAGCCGAUGUCGGAUUAGCUAGUUGGCGGGGUAAAGGCCCACCAAGGCGACGAUCCGUAGCUGGUCUGAGAGGAUGAUCAGCCACACUGGAACUGAGACACGGUCCAGACUCCUACGGGAGGCAGCAGUGGGGAAUAUUGGACAAUGGGCGCAAGCCUGAUCCAGCCAUACCGCGUGGGUGAAGAAGGCCUUCGGGUUGUAAAGCCCUUUUGUUGGGAAAGAAAAGCAGCAGGUUAAUACCCCGCUGUUCUGACGGUACCCAAAGAAUAAGCACCGGCUAACUUCGUG